RNAcentral lists this ribosomal RNA (1446 nucleotides) under uncultured marine cyanobacterium. RNAcentral's name for it is "bacterial SSU rRNA". It matches the Rfam family "Bacterial small subunit ribosomal RNA". Lineage: Bacteria; Bacillati; Cyanobacteriota. The record is from RNAcentral.
GAGUUUGAUCAUGGCUCAGGAUGAACGCUGGCGGCGUGCUUAACACAUGCAAGUCGAACGAACCUUCGGGUUAGUGGCGGACGGGUGAGUAACGCGUGGGAAUCUGCCCUCAGGAGGGGGAUAACGGUUGGAAGCGACCGCUAAUACCCCAUACGCCGAGAGGUGAAAUGAAUUUCGCCUGAGGAUGAGCCCGCGUCUGAUUAGCUUGUUGGUGAGGUAAUGGCUCACCAAGGCAUCGAUCAGUAGCUGGUCUGAGAGGAUGAUCAGCCACACUGGGACUGAGACACGGCCCAAACUCCUACGGGAGGCAGCAGUGGGGAAUUUUCCGCAAUGGGCGAAAGCCUGACGGAGCAACGCCGCGUGAGGGACGAAGGCCUCUGGGCUGUAAACCUCUUUUCUCAAGGAAGAAGAUAUGACGGUACUUGAGGAAUAAGCCACGGCUAAUUCCGUGCCAGCAGCCGCGGUAAUACGGGAGUGGCAAGCGUUAUCCGGAAUUAUUGGGCGUAAAGCGUCCGCAGGCGGCCUUUCAAGUCUGCUGUUAAAGCGUGGAGCUUAACUCCCAUCAUGGCAGUGGAAACUGAUUGGCUUGGGUAUGGUAGGGGCAGAGGGAAUUCCCGGUGUAGCGGUGAAAUGCGUAGAUAUCGGGAAGAACACCAGUGGCGAAGGCGCUCUGCUGGGCCAUUACUGACGCUCAUGGACGAAAGCCAGGGGAGCGAAAGGGAUUAGAUACCCCUGUAGUCCUGGCCGUAAACGAUGAACACUAGGUGUCGGGGGAAUCGACCUCUUCGGUGUCGUAGCUAACGCGUUUAGUGUUCCGCCUGGGGAGUACGCACGCAAGUGUGAAACUCAAAGGAAUUGACGGGGGCCCGCACAAGCGGUGGAGUAUGUGGUUUAAUUCGAUGCAACGCGAAGAACCUUACCAGGGCUUGACAUCCUGCGAACCUUUAAGAAAUUAGAGGGUGCCUUCGGGAACGCAGUGACAGGUGGUGCAUGGCUGUCGUCAGCUCGUGUCGUGAGAUGUUGGGUUAAGUCCCGCAACGAGCGCAACCCACGUUUUUAGUUGCCAGCACUUAGUUGGGCACUCUAGAAAGACCGCCGGUGAUAAACCGGAGGAAGGUGUGGAUGACGUCAAGUCAUCAUGCCCCUUACGUCCUGGGCUACACACGUACUACAAUGCUACGGACAAAGGGCAGCAAACUCGCGAGAGCUAGCAAAUCCCAUAAACCGUGGCUCAGUUCAGAUCGUAGGCUGCAACUCGCCUACGUGAAGUAGGAAUCGCUAGUAAUCGCAGGUCAGCAUACUGCGGUGAAUACGUUCCCGGGCCUUGUACACACCGCCCGUCACACCAUGGAAGUUGGCCACGCCCGAAGUCGUUACUUUAACCCUUGUGGAGAAGGACGCCGAAGGUGGGGCUGAUGGGUGGGGUGAAGUCGUAACAAGGUAACC